Molecule: long non-coding RNA, 2863 nt
Organism: Leucoraja erinaceus (little skate)
Lineage: Eukaryota; Metazoa; Chordata; Chondrichthyes; Rajiformes; Rajidae
Exons: 3
Source: RefSeq, a predicted model, not a curated record
GGGGAAGAUAUAGAGUGCAGAAUAUAUUUCUCAUAUGGUCAAUGUGCAUGGGACCUGCUCCUCUAGGGGGAAAUCAGUGGACAUGCAAUCUAUACUCCCGGGAGACCAGCUCCCCCAGAGAGUCAACAUGCGUGGAAGCCUUUCCCUCAGGAACAGCCAGUGUGCGUGGGAUACACCUCUCAUGAAGAACAAGUGUAUGUAGGACCCAUCCUCCACAGAGACCCGUGUGUAUGGGACUUGGUGCUCAGAGAAAGCCAGUGUGCAUGGAACCUGUCCACCAGGGAGACCCAGAGUGUGUUUCUACUCCAGCAUCACAGAGAUGUAGCAAUAUUCCUUGCAGUACAUAACAUCUUUACAAAAGUCCAUCUGAUAAGAGCAACACUGAGGAAGAAGCAUUAGAUUCUGGAAAAGAUUUGGUGAUCGAGUGCUGGUGGCAUGUUCUUCAAGUUGUAUCAAUGAGAUGCAGCAAUGGAAACUCAAUGGGGAGAAUGGGGAUGGAUGUGAGCAAUUAUGUUCAAAUUGUGUGCAUAUAAUUGAAAGCUAAAUUCCAAAAUUAGGUAAAUGUUAAUUUCAUUUAUAACGUGAGUUGCUUAUAACAGGGGUAUUAAAAUCAUCCCCCCACACCCAUGUUGUAUUUCCAAUUUCACACAUUCAGUGCUCACAAUGCGGCCUCGUCUACAGUGAAGAAAACAAACACAGAUUGAAUGAAUGCUCUGCAGAACGUUUCCUUUCAGUCUACAGGGGUCAUUACAGGUUACAAUUAUCUGUAGCUUUAAUGCUGCGUCCCACUAUGAUUUCUUUAUCUUUGGCCUCUUGCACUGUUCCAAUGAAGACAAACAGAGAGUUCAGGAAUGACAACAGACAUUGACUCGGCACAACACAGUUCCCAGGACUCAACAACAGAUUAAUAAUAAUAAUAAUAAUAAUAAUGUUUUGUUUAUAGGGACAGCAAAGGUUUAUAGAUUACCAGCAAAGCUUUGAGGUAAGAGGGGGAAAGUUUAAAGGAAAGGCACUGAGCAAGUUUUAUUUUUACAUUGAGGGUGGUGAAUGCUUGGAACCUACUGCUGGGUGUGGUUGUUGGGGCAUAUACGAUAAUGGCAUUUAAGAGACUUUAGGAUAUGCAUGGAAUGGAGGGAUAUGGAUUACAUGCAGGCAGAUAAGUCUUCGCAUUAGGUUCGUCACAGACAUUGUGGGCUGAAGGACGUGUCCUUAUAAGCAGAAUAAUCAAAUAUCUUUGAGUGUAGGAAAGAACUGCAGAUGCUGGUUUAAAUCAAAGGUAGACACAAAAUGCUGGAAUAACUCAGCGGGACAAGUAGCAUCUCUGGGGAGAAGGAUCGGGUGAUGUUUCGGGUCGAGACCCUUCCUUAGACUGAAUUCAGUAUUCUUCAAAUACCUUUUUUCAACUCAGUCAUUCUAGUUAGUCCCCUCCCCCAUUGGCAGAAGAUACAAUAGCUCGAAAACAUGUACCACUGGUCUCGGGAACUGCUUCUUCCCCUCUGUUACUAGGCUACUGAAUGGUCCUCCCAUAAAUUAGGAAGUUAUCCCAAUCUUACAACCUACUUUCAUUCCAGUCACUGGAAUUUUUCUCCAUAAUCGUGACCUAUAAUGCUGUAAAACUAUAUUCUAUACUCUGGUAUUUUUCUCAUUGCAUUACCUGGUGUUCUUGUGUAUGGCUUGACUGCACUCAUGAAUAGCAUGAUUUGAUAAAUUUGGAUAGCAUGCAAACAAAAGCUUUUCACUGUAUUUCGACAUGUAACAAUAAUAAACCAAUACCAAUCCUACCCUGAUGUCUGGUGUCACUGUUUUCACUCUCUUGGCCAUCAGCCAAGCAAACAUUCUCUCUGCAUCUCCACCCCUUUCCUUUUUUGCAGUUUAAAACAUGCUGCCUUUGUAACUUUGCCUAGUUCUGAUGAAAGGUCAUUGACCCAAAACAUUAGCCGUCUCCCUCUGCACAGAUGCUGCCUGAUCUGCUAAGUAUUUCUAGGAUUAUCAGGUUUUAUAACUAAAUAUUUACUGUUUUUCAAGCAAGACUAUAACAAAUAUCUAAUUUAUACCUCAACUUUCUUUCACUGUUCCAAUUGGAUGUGACUAAUUUUCCCUCCUAUCUAGUAAAGGAUCCGGACUUCCGAAUGCAGUACCCCAUAAUAACCCGAUUUGAUUAUACAAGUGUAAAGCUCGACAUUUAGUGGACCAGUAAACUCCCAUUUCAAAAGACUUUUAUUUUCACAAAGAAAAUAUAAAAUUAUUUAAAAAACUGCCUUGUUAGUUAUGAACCAUAGCAAAUAACAGUGUACAUACAAAAUACGUUCAAAGCCAGACUCGGUCAAUAUACAAAAAGUGUUCUCUGACCAUCUGCACAGCUGCCAGUAUGAGAGCAGCAGUUUGACAGUGUUUCUAACCAGUUACAAGCCUGAGAAUUUGUUAGGAAGGUGCUGUCACAGCAGAUGACACCAUGUUUCAGCUGUUGACACCCAGCAGGCUUCUGCUGUUUUCACCAGCAUCCAACAGCUCAUCAGGCCCUCGCAACGUGACAGUUCACCAAUUGCCAGUAAUACUAUACAUCUGCUAAUGAGCUGUGUGCAGUUGGAAUACAAUGAGCCACACCAGGAGCUAUUUAAGGCCAGUGAACCUGACACCAAUCGUGGGAAUGUUGUUGGAGAGGAUUCUUUGGGACAGGAUCUGCGAACACGUGUAUCGCCUCUGCCUGACCCUCCACUUGAACGAACUAACUUAUCAAUGGACUUAUCAAAACUUAUCAAAAGACUUGGAAUCUGACGAAGAAUAUUCAGAUGAAGAUCAGAUGCAAUGUAAACAAAUAAAUUGGGGAAAUAAAUGAUUAUAUAAAGUUUUAUUUUAGUGUCGA